This 429-nucleotide ribosomal RNA is filed under the name Bacteroidota bacterium. RNAcentral's name for it is "Bacteroidetes bacterium partial 16S ribosomal RNA". It matches the Rfam family "Bacterial small subunit ribosomal RNA", at positions 355 to 776 of the family's 1533-position model. Lineage: Bacteria; Pseudomonadati; Bacteroidota. The record is from RNAcentral.
UAGGGAAUCUUCCGCAAUGGACGCAAGUCUGACGGAGCAACGCCGCGUGAGUGAAGAAGGAUUUCGGUUCGUAAAACUCUGUUGUUAGAGAAGAACAGCGCAUAGAGUAACUGUUAUGCGUGUGACGGUAUCUAACCAGAAAGCCACGGCUAACUACGUGCCAGCAGCCGCGGUAAUACGUAGGUGGCAAGCGUUGUCCGGAUUUAUUGGGCGUAAAGCGGGCGCAGGCGGUCAAUUAAGUCUGAUGGGAAAGCCCCCGGCUCAACCGGGGAGGGUCAUUGGAAACUGGUUGACUUGAGUGCAGAAGAGGAGAGUGGAAUUCCAUGUGUAGCGGUGAAAUGCGUAGAUAUAUGGAGGAACACCAGUGGCGAAGGCGACUCUCUGGUCUGUAACUGACGCUGAGGCUCGAAAGCGUGGGUAGCAAACAGG